ACCCGCUGAACUUAAGCAUAUCAAUAAGCGGAGGAAAAGAAACCAACAGGGAUUGCCUCAGUAACGGCGAGUGAAGCGGCAAUAGCUCAAAUUUUAAAUCUGGCGCAAGCCCGAGUUGUAAUUUGAAGAGGAUGCCUCGGUUGCGGCCCCGGCCCAAGUUUCUUGGAACAGGACGUCAUGGAGGGUGAGAAUCCCGUCUGGCUGGUGGUUCACACCGUGUGUGGCUCCUUCGAAGAGUCGAGUUGUUUGGGAAUGCAGCUCAAAAUGGGUGGUAGAUUUCCAUCUAAAGCUAAAUACUGGCGAGAGACCGAUAGCGCACAAGUAGAGUGAUCGAAAGAUGAAAAGCACUUUGAAAAGAGAGUUAAAUAGUACGUGAAAUUGUUGAAAGGGAAGCGCUUGCAAUCAGACUCGCCUGCGGUUGAUCAACGUCCCUUCUGGUUCGUGCACUCUUCUGUGGGCGGGCCAGCAUCGGUUGGGGCGGUGGGACAAAGACGCUGGGAAUGUGGCUCCUCGGAGUGUUAUAGCCCUGCGUGCAAUGCCACCUGCCCCGACCGAGGUCCGCGCUUCGGCUAGGAUGCUGGCUUAAUGGUUGUAAGCGACCCGUCUUGAAACACGG
This 616-nucleotide ribosomal RNA is filed under the name Orbilia coccinella. Its description in RNAcentral is "eukaryotic LSU rRNA". It matches the Rfam family "Eukaryotic large subunit ribosomal RNA", at positions 23 to 664 of the family's 3401-position model. The record is from RNAcentral. Lineage: Eukaryota; Fungi; Ascomycota; Orbiliomycetes; Orbiliales; Orbiliaceae.